UGGGGAAUUUUGCACAAUGGGGGAAACCCUGAUGCAGCGACGCCGCGUGAUUUAGAAGGCCUUCGGGUUGUAAAAAUCUUUUCUAUGGGAAGAAAAUGACAGUACCAUAGGAAUAAGGACCGGCUAAUUACGUGCCAGCAGCCGCGGUAAUACGUAAGGUCCGAGCGUUGUCCGGAAUCAUUGGGCGUAAAGGGUACGUAGGCGGGUAAGCAAGUUAGAAGUGAAAUCCUAUAGCUCAACUAUAGUAAGCUUUUAAAACUGCUCAUCUAGAGGUAUGGAAGGGAAAGUGGAAUUCCUAGUGGAGCGGUGAAAUGCGCAGAUAUUAGGAGGAAUACCGGUGGCGAAGGCGACUUUCUGGCCAUAACCUGACGCUGAGGUACGAAAGCGUGGGUAGCAAACAGG
Molecule: ribosomal RNA, 402 nt
Filed under: bacterium
Lineage: Bacteria
Description: partial 16S ribosomal RNA
Rfam family: Bacterial small subunit ribosomal RNA
Source: RNAcentral